AGGAGCCGGAGGUGGCUGCGGGGGGCUCCGGCCCAGGCGUAGGAAGGGCAAGAGGCGGUUCGGGCCGGGGGCGGUGCCAGGAGGGAGGUUGUCUAUGCAACAGAGGGGUAUGAUGAAUGCUGAAAUAAGCGCUUUUUGCAACAAGAAAGAAAUAUGAACUCAAAGGAAGCCACCAGCAGAAUUUCUCUUCUCUGGCCUUCAUUCACAAAGUUUGAAGAGGCUUGUCUGGUGGCUGUGUGAAGCAGGCCAGUGAAGGAAUCUCUCUGGAUCUGUUUUCACCUGGGGAUUACAGAUAUGCACCACCACACAGGGCCGGGAAUUGAACCCAGGGUAAUAUACAUGCCAGGCAACAUUCAAGGGCUGGAGAGACAAACGAUCUGACUCAGUCAUUUGUCUGAGUCAUCAAGGUCUCAUGUGGCACUCGCUGUCCUGGAAUUCGAUGUGAAGACCGGUCUGGCCUUGAACUCACAAAGAUCUUUUGUUUCUGCCCUUGGGGUGCUGGGAUCAAAGGUAGGUGCCACCACACCCAGCCCAAGAGAGUUUCUUGAGAAGAAUAUCUAGAUGGAGUGUUCCUCCAUUCUUCAUUUCUGUAACGAAGCACACCUUAGCUUGGGGAGGUAGCUCUGCUGGUGGAUUGCUUGCCUAGUGUACCCAAGGAGCUAGCCCCAGCCUCGCAAGAAACAAAACAAAACAGUUCCCCACAAGUUUACACAGUCCUAGUUUUGGGGGCUCAAGGGCAUGGUGCCGGCCUCAGCAUGGCUCCGGUGGGAACCUCAUGUCUGACAGCCCUCACAGUGACAGGAAUUCUGUGAAAGACAGAUCAUACGCUGGAAGCAGGGAAGGAAUUCAGGCAAAGCUCAGGACUGUAUGGCAGCACACUUGCUUUGAGCAACCAGCAUUCCCUUAGGAGGACAGGUUCCCCAGUGGCCCAAACACCUCCCGCCAGGCCCAAUCUCGUUCAGGUUCCAUCACCUCUCACAGCAGCACACCAGGGACUAAGCUUCCUACCCAUGAAUCCUCGGGGGAUGUGCCACUUGUAAACCAUGGCAGAUGGCAAGUCAGAUGGGAUAGGGUUGGGGAAAGAUGGUCCAGAGAGGCCAGUAGCAGGGAACCAGACGGAUUAGUCUUUCGGAGACUCUCCCGUGGACAAAGUGUCCUUCAUUCAGGAAGAACGUAUCAGGAGCCCUCUGAGGUGAAGCUGGGAACAGCUGGUCUUCAGGGAGGAGGAGAGAAUACACAAUUUUACUCUCCUCUGGGGAGACCUCUGACAAGAGCACAGGAGGCCUUCCUGGGAGGGUGAACUAAACAGAGCACAAGGAAGGAGCACCCUUGUGUGAGACAGAGGACUCAGUGGUAAAGAGCACUGGCUGCUCUUGCAGAGGACCGGACAGUCCCAGCACCCACAUGGCGGCUCAUAACCAUCUCUCACUCCAGUUUCAGGAAGCUGGAAUGCCCUCCUCUGACUUGUAUGGGUCCCAGACACACAAGUGCUAUACAGACAUACACAUUAAAAAAAAAAAAAAAAAAGGUGGCAAGCAAGCCUCAGGAUACAUGGUACCAUACCACCUCGUUCACAAUAAAGCAAAAUG
Long non-coding RNA from Psammomys obesus (fat sand rat), 1589 nucleotides. RefSeq lists it as uncharacterized. The record is from RefSeq and is a predicted model, not a curated record. The transcript is spliced from 6 exons. Lineage: Eukaryota; Metazoa; Chordata; Mammalia; Rodentia; Muridae.